UACGUAGGGUGCGAGCGUUAAUCGGAAUUACUGGGCGUAAAGGGUGCGUAGGCGGUUCGUCGUGUCUGGUGUGAAAUCCCCGGGCUCAACCUGGGAAUGGCAUUGGAAACUGGCGGACUAGAGUGUGGCAGAGGGAGGUGGAAUUCCGCGUGUAGCAGUGAAAUGCGUAGAGAUGCGGAGGAACACCGAUGGCGAAGGCAGCCUCCUGGGCUAACACUGACGCUGAGGCACGAAAGCGUGGGGAGCAAACAGG
RNAcentral lists this ribosomal RNA (253 nucleotides) under uncultured bacterium. RNAcentral's name for it is "partial 16S ribosomal RNA". It matches the Rfam family "Bacterial small subunit ribosomal RNA", at positions 524 to 776 of the family's 1533-position model. The record is from RNAcentral.